AUAUUUUAUUUUUUUUUUACCAGAGCUUAAAGAAAUUCCACUAAAGGAAUUAAUCAGAAAGAGUUGUUUGCUUACUAUAUGCCUUGUAGUACUAUCAAGAUGCCCUGAAUAGUGCUGCAGGCUUCUUUACAGUGGGGAUGUCAUGUCGACAGGAUAGAGGAGGGAAUGGCUCUGCUCCUGCCUCCAGGUGCUUGAGCAGAUAGACCAGACCAUAAGCUGCAGCCUGCUCAGUGCAGGAACCUAUUCUACAGGUGAAAAUCUCCAUGCAUGGCCAAGGACCGAUGCCCCGUGGCUGCGUGCUUUGCCAGCACAACCCCUGCACCCACAUUGGAAGCUGGAGGUCUGAAAUUGUUCCUACUCUUAACAGCACAUGUGGGCUGCUGAGCGCACAAAGGCAUCUGGGAAAAUGGAGAAGGAUGUAAGCUCCUUUCCUUGAGGCUUUCAGGACUUUGCCAUUCUUCUUAAUUUUUGAGCUAACAUGGAAAGGCUGAUGUCCCUCAAACCCAAUCCUGGUUGGAGGUGGCACAACAGUGCUGUGUCUGCUGCACUAAAGCUGACCAAAGAUCUGUGCUCUGCACUGCUCUCACCUCCGCUCACCUGUGCACCAGCAAGAUCAUUUCCAAAAUCAUAAAUCCCACGUGGAAACGUCUGAUAUUUCCAAAGCCUAGUGAAAGGCUGAUGGCAGCUUUUCCUUUCGGAUGGUCUCAGGGAAUGUUUCCAUUUUCUGAUUUCCGAUCAGGGCUGAUUUAAUGCUGUUCGUAUAUAAUCACUUGGCUCCUGCAGGUAGGGACGCACAAUACUUCCUUCCACCUCCUACCAAAAAACAGCAGGAAGGAAGGGAUAAUAACAUUUAGAAAGAGAACGAGGUCUGUUUGUAGGCAGAGACAAGCAGAUUCAGCAGGCUGGGCUGGAGCUGAUGUUUCCCAUCGAAUUUUCUGGUUACCAGUGGUAGCAGAUGUAAAGAUACAGCCUGACUUCUGUGGCCAAAACAGACGAUUCUGAUCAUGCAAUCUAAGGCCUGCCCAGCUUCACGUCGAAAGAUGUGUGCCCUUCUGAAGGGCACUUCUGAAGAAAGAUGUCAAAGGAUGGAGAUAUAAUUUUUGUAGAAUUUUUGGAUGGUGCUUUAGCGGGCAGUCAGAAAUCAUGGAUUCUUAACGCAGUUUACUUACACCAACACACCUCCUGCUUUUCUAACUCAGUUUACUUUUCUCUGAAGUGAAGCCUGAGAUGCUAAGCCUUAAUGCUGUCAGCUUUAAUUAGGCAGAUGACCAGCUGGUGACAGCACACACCCACCAGCCUUUUUCCAUUAGGUAUUUUAAGGGGAGCCGGGGAGGGCUGGUUUGCUGGGAGGUUGCUUCCUAUUGGUGGUGGUUUUCUCUGGCAUAGUCAAGUGAGGUCCUAGGUGGAGAGCUAUGGAGUGAGGCAGUAGAAAAAGAGGCUCAGAUAAGAGAAUGAGGAGGGUUUGUGCAGUGCAAGGGAAAUGCAGAUGCUGGGGGCAAUUAAACCAUUGGGUUAGGAAGAGGGCAGAACUGUACAGCGGAGAAUGAAUCUGCAAAGUGAGAAAAUAGUCUGUGGAUGCCAGAGACACUCCACAAUGUGAAUGCCAAAUCCAUCACAAUGGAUGCUGAGAGUGAGCUAAAUUUGAAGAUUAUUGGGCAGAAUCUCACGGGGGGAGAAAGGGCAGAAACGUGAGGGGGGGGUGGUAUGAAUGAAUCAAAGACAUUUGUGGCAAAGAGAAGGAAAGAGACGCAGAAAGAAUGGAGCUGGGAGCAGGCAGCUGGGGGUCACAUGUGAUAGAGAGAACUCCCAACACUGCCAGGUUGGAGCAGGGACUCAGGGACAGGAGAAAAUAAGGCUUUUUUUCCUGUAUUUUAAAGAAAUAUCCCCAUUGUGCAGAAGGGGAAAAAACUUGCCUCUAAUCUGCAAGGGUGCUGCACGUGGUCUCACAGCACUUCCAGCUUUCCAGACAUUUAUUCCUUAUUCAAGUGGGAGGUGCAGAAAUAAAGACAGAAGGUGAAGCUGAGUUCAGGGAAAUAACUGUCCUGGGACUAGGAAGUGGAAAAAUUGACCAGUUCUGCACCCUCCUCCUAUUGUGUUUUUUUAACUUUUUAUUUUCCCAUUCCGCUUCAAGACAGCGCUGGGACUCCAAGAGGCAGCGAAGAAACAAGACUCAGCUGUGCUGGAGGAGCAGUGGCUCAGUGGCUGCCUGCAGGAGCACAGUGGCCAUGGCUGAGCUGCCACUUGUCAUGGCAGUGGGGCUGGGCCAUUGAUGCACCGCGCUGUUUGCCACGUUGCCUGGUAGCUGCUGUGAUGUGUUUAUCCUCAUCCUGAGCUGCCUGAAUGGCUGUUCCCUCUGCUGCGAAGUUCACAUGGGGACCCACAGAUCACAGGCUAUAAAAAGCGAUGGCCUGGCCAUUGUGCCAACUCUUCUGCUGGGGGCUGCUUAUGCAAUACGGGUGCAGAGCUCAUGCAAAGUGUGAAGGAUACCUGGGUGGCUGCAGGUCCUGCUUGUCAGCUGAGCAGCCAGCUCCUCCUUUGCAGUGACUGUACCAGCAUCACUGUCUGCAUGGAAGGUGUCAUCACUGCUCUCCUUGUUGAGCUGUCCUUGCACAUGGCUGAUGUAUGGGGAGUGCAGUGACCCCAGCCCCGUGUCACGACAGGGAGCAGCAUGUGGGGCUGGGCACAGAGCCGGGGGGGGGUCAAGCUGGGCCAGUGACCACUCCGUUGCAUGGCCCCCUCCCACCCAGCCCUUCUCCUAGAGCCCAAUGCGUCCAAGAGGAACAGGGGGUGGUUGGAUGUGGCAGUGAAGAAACAUCUCACCAAACUGUGUGCACCCUGGGAGGUGCUGGCUGUGUCAGAAAGCCCUCCAUGACCCUUGAGGGGUUAAGUUUCACCUCAGAGAGGGCUGUGUGAGACCACCAACUCCCCCUGUGCCACUUGGCGCUUUCUGCAUCCCACAGGUGCCCGGUGCAGCUGGGCUGGGCAGCUCUAACCUCCUUCUGUCCUGCCCAGCCCAGGGGCACGGCCACGUGGCCCCACGCGUGCCCCUCUCCCCUGCGGCCCCUGGAGGGGGGCUGCUUGCGCAGGGUCCGGGGCGGGGGAGCCUUCCUGCCGGCCGGUGGUGACGUUGGCUGGGCAGGAAGGAACAGCGGGUUCCUGAGGGAGCUGGGGACAUUCCUCCCAUAGCUGCGCGGGGCCCCUCGCGUCCCGCAGGGCGCUCAGGCUAUUAUUGAAGCCCGUUGCCGUGGCACGCUUCCAGGUCUGUAUUUCUUCUCACAUAGGAGGGUGGAAACAGCUCCCUCCC
Molecule: long non-coding RNA, 3304 nt
Organism: Numida meleagris (helmeted guineafowl)
Lineage: Eukaryota; Metazoa; Chordata; Aves; Galliformes; Numididae
Exons: 3
Source: RefSeq, a predicted model, not a curated record